RNAcentral lists this ribosomal RNA (206 nucleotides) under uncultured bacterium. Its description in RNAcentral is "partial 16S ribosomal RNA". It matches the Rfam family "Bacterial small subunit ribosomal RNA", at positions 568 to 774 of the family's 1533-position model. The record is from RNAcentral.
UGCGUAGGUGGCAGAACAAGUCUGGAGUAAAAGGUAUGGGCUCAACCCGUACUGGCUCUGGAAACUGUUCAGCUAGAGAACAGAAGAGGACGGCGGAACUCCAUGUGUAGCGGUAAAAUGCGUAGAUAUAUGGAAGAACACCGGUGGCGAAGGCGGCCGUCUGGUCUGUUGCUGACACUGAAGUACGAAAGCGUGGGGAGCAAAUA